This 274-nucleotide long non-coding RNA is filed under the name Lepidothrix coronata (blue-crowned manakin). RNAcentral describes it as "lncRNA (ENSLCOG00000004043.1)". The record is from RNAcentral. Lineage: Eukaryota; Metazoa; Chordata; Aves; Passeriformes; Pipridae.
UUUUCUAGUACCUUUAAUACAUCACACUUGAGCUAUUGUUGAACCCCUUCACAGUUCAUCAGUGCAGCACAGCUCCCUGCUGAAUUGGGAUGAGCUGGCUGAGUCAGCUGACAGAAGGAAGAGAGGAAUCGAGUUUGACAGCAGCACAGACUUACUUUGGCUUAAGGUGGAAGAAAGUGUUCGCUCUUUCCAAGUGACCUAAAAGCAUCUGGAAAAGUGAAGAUAGAGGAUUGGGGUCACAAAAACUCCGUGUGGGUUUAGCAUCCUUGAAAAC